GGAUCCAGGUGCAGACGAGGCGGGUAGUAGCGAGGAGCCAAGCGUUAUCCGGAAGCACUGGGGGUAAAGCGUAGGUAGGUGGGGCGUGAAGUGUGGUGCGAAAUCUAGCGGCUCAACCGUUUAGACUGUGUCGCAUACUGGCGUGCUUGAGGAUGGCAGAGGCAAGUGGAAUUAGUAGUGUAGCAGUGAAAUGCGUAGAUAGUACUAGGAACACCAAUGGCGAAGGCAGCUUGCUGGGCCACCCCUGACGCUGAGGUACGAAAGCGUGGGGAGCGAACAGGAUUAGAUACCCGAGUAGUC
Molecule: ribosomal RNA, 300 nt
Filed under: uncultured Acidianus sp.
Lineage: Archaea; Thermoproteati; Thermoproteota; Thermoprotei; Sulfolobales; Sulfolobaceae
Description: partial 16S ribosomal RNA
Rfam family: Bacterial small subunit ribosomal RNA
Source: RNAcentral